GAUGAACGCUGGCGGCGUGCUUAACACAUGCAAGUCGAACGGUGAAGCAGGAGCUUGCUCUUGUGGAUCAGUGGCGAACGAGUGGGUAACACGUGAGCAACCUGCCCCUGACUCUGGGAUAAGCGCUGGAAACGGCGUCUAAUACUGGAUAUGUGAUGUGACCGCAUGGUCUGCAUCUGGAAAGAAUUUCGGUUGGGGGUGGGCUCGCGGCCUAUCAGCUUGUUGGUGAGGUAAUGGCUCACCAAGGCGUCGACGGGUAGCCGGCCUGAGAGGGUGACCGGCCACACUGGGACUGAGACACGGCCCAGACUCCUACGGGAGGCAGCAGUGGGGAAUAUUGCACAAUGGGCGGAAGCCUGAUGCAGCAACGCCGCGUGAGGGAUGACGGCCUUCGGGUUGUAAACCUCUUUUAGCAGGGAAGAAGCGAAAGUGACGGUACCUGCAGAAAAAGCACCGGCUAACUACGUGCCAGCAGCCGCAGUAA
Molecule: ribosomal RNA, 484 nt
Filed under: uncultured bacterium
Lineage: Bacteria
Description: partial 16S ribosomal RNA
Rfam family: Bacterial small subunit ribosomal RNA
Source: RNAcentral